UGCAGUCGACGGCAGCGCGGGGCAACCUGGCGGCGAGUGGCGAACGGGUGAGUAAUAUAUCGGAACGUACCCAAGAGUGGGGGAUAACGUAGCGAAAGUUACGCUAAUACCGCAUACGAUCUACGGAGGAAAGGGGGGGAUCUUACGACCUCUCGCUGCAGGGGCGGCCGAUGGCAGAUUACCUAGUUGGUGGGGUAAAGGCCUACCAAGGCGACGAUCUGUAGCUGGUCUGAGAGGACGACCAGCCACACUGGGACUGAGACACGGCCCAGACUCCUACGGGAGGCAGCAGUGGGGAAUUUUGGACAAUGGGCGCAAGCCUGAUCCAUCAAUGCCGCGUGUGUGAAGAAGGCCUUCGGGUUGUAAAGCACUUUUGUCCGGAAAGAAAACUUCUGGGUUAAUACCCUGGGAGGAUGACGGUACCGGAAUAAUAAGCACCGGCUAACUACGUGCCAGCAUCCGCGGUAAUACGUAGGUGCGAGCGUUAAU
This 489-nucleotide ribosomal RNA is filed under the name uncultured bacterium. RNAcentral's name for it is "bacterial SSU rRNA". It matches the Rfam family "Bacterial small subunit ribosomal RNA", at positions 56 to 543 of the family's 1533-position model. The record is from RNAcentral.